AGAGUUUGAUCCUGGCUCAGGACGAACGCUGGCGGCGUGCUUAACACAUGCAAGUCGAACGAGAAUCUACUGAAAGAGUCUUCGGACAAUGGAUGUAGAGGAAAGUGGCGGACGGGUGAGUAACGCGUGAGGAACCUGCCUUGAAGAGGGGGACAACAGUUGGAAACGACUGCUAAUACCGCAUGACGCAUAGAGGUCGCAUGAUCUUUAUGCCAAAGAUUUAUCGCUUCAAGAUGGCCUCGCGUCUGAUUAGCUGGUUGGCGGGGUAACGGCCCACCAAGGCGACGAUCAGUAGCCGGACUGAGAGGUUGAACGGCCACAUUGGGACUGAGAUACGGCCCAGACUCCUACGGGAGGCAGCAGUGGGGAAUAUUGGGCAAUGGGCGCAAGUCUGACCCAGCAACGCCGCGUGAAGGAAGAAGGCUUUCGGGUUGUAAACUUCUUUUAAGAGGGAAGAGUAGAAGACGGUACCUCUAGAAUAAGCCACGGCUAACUACGUGCCAGCAGCCGCGGUAAUACGUAGGUGGCAAGCGUUGUCCGGAUUUACUGGGUGUAAAGGGCGUGCAGCCGGGUCUGCAAGUCAGAUGUGAAAUCCAUGGGCUCAACCCAUGAACUGCAUUUGAAACUGUAGAUCUUGAGUGUCGGAGGGGCAAUCGGAAUUCCUAGUGUAGCGGUGAAAUGCGUAGAUAUUAGGAGGAACACCAGUGGCGAAGGCGGAUUGCUGGACGAUAACUGACGGUGAGGCGCGAAAGUGUGGGGAGCAAACAGGAUUAGAUACCCUGGUAGUCCAUGCCGUAAACGAUGAUUACUAGGUGUUGGAGGAUUGACCCCUUCAGUGCCGCAGUUAACACAAUAAGUAAUCCACCUGGGGAGUACGACCGCAAGGUUGAAACUCAAAGGAAUUGACGGGGGCCCGCACAAGCAGUGGAGUAUGUGGUUUAAUUCGAAGCAACGCGAAGAACCUUACCAGGUCUUGACAUCCGAUGCAUAGUGCAGAGAUGCAUGAAGUCCUUCGGGACAUCGAGACAGGUGGUGCAUGGUUGUCGUCAGCUCGUGUCGUGAGAUGUUGGGUUAAGUCCCGCAACGAGCGCAACCCUUAUUGCCAGUUACUACGCAAGAGGACUCUGGCGAGACUGCCGUUGACAAAACGGAGGAAGGUGGGGAUGACGUCAAAUCAUCAUGCCCUUUAUGACCUGGGCUACACACGUACUACAAUGGCGUUUAACAAAGAGAAGCAAGACCACGAGGUGGAGCAAAACUCAAAAACAACGUCUCAGUUCAGAUUGCAGGCUGCAACUCGCCUGCAUGAAGUCGGAAUUGCUAGUAAUCGCGGAUCAGCAUGCCGCGGUGAAUACGUUCCCGGGCCUUGUACACACCGCCCGUCACACCAUGAGAGCCGGGGGGACCCGAAGUCGGUAGUCUAACCUUUCGAGGAGGACGCCGCCGAAGGUAAAGCUGGUGAUUGGGGUGAAGUCGUAACAAGGUA
Molecule: ribosomal RNA, 1486 nt
Filed under: metagenome
Description: bacterial SSU rRNA
Rfam family: Bacterial small subunit ribosomal RNA
Source: RNAcentral